AUGUUCUCGCGAUAUUUAAUGUCGAACGUAACGCACGUAGACAGGGUGGAAAUCCAGUCUAGCUAGAUAAACGCUUUCAUUUGAAUUAAUGUCUGUUUAAAAAGAAGAUUUGAAAACUUUGAGAAAUCGAUUUAAAGGUGCAGGUCUGGCUGGAACAGGAACCACCCCACUACCUCAACUACAAGCAAUCACCAUGGAGGGUUGUCAAAUGUCCUGCUCGUUUUUUGGGUGCAAGAGGACCUACAAUAGUCCGGAAGCACUGAAUAGUCAUCUUCAGGACCAUCAAAAGAACACUGCCCAUUCUCUUCCAGGGAAAACCUUCCUAUGCUCUCAUAUAGGAUGUGAUGGUUCAUUUAACAACAUGCAGCAGCUAAUGGAACAUAUGAGGCACCAUUACAAGCCAAAUAACUUUUUCCUGUGCGAGAGCUGCAGGGCCAAACUGCGUUCUUACCGCACUCUUCUCAAACACCUGCAGACCUGUGCUAAAGUUGCUAAGAACAAGGCUGCAAAAAUAGAGACUGGAAUGGCACCUGACGGAGAUCCCACCAAUGUUCUGCCCGCUUCCACUGACAUGGAAUCAUCUGGACCCCUCUUAGCCCCAAAUGCACCUGAGGAGAUGGAGUCUAUGCCAUCUAUGCCCUCUUUGCCCACAAAUCCAACACUGGCAAGCAUGCCAGUAACCCAGCGGCCUGCAGAAAACAACGCAUUUGCUAACCCCAUACCUGCAGGGCCUGUAACUGUGCCGCUUGCCACUCUAAAUCCUGCCUCAAUCCAAAAUCUUCCUUGCCAACCAGAAUCUCCCUACAGCUCCUUUCCACCUACUCUGUCUCCUGUUAACCAAGUCUUCCAGCCAGAUCCGGGCCUACAGCAGCAGCAGAGGUCUCCAAGGUCUGGUCCUCCUAGUCUAACAGCUUCACCGCCGCUGCCGUCACCACCAGGAUCAAACGCAGUCUGGAGGAAGAACCAAGACCCGCCCGGGCCCCUUUUGCACAGAUGGAACUCUCCGAGCAGUCAGAGUUUAAAUAGAGAUGAAGUCCAGGUCAGUCCUUCAACUGCCGAAUCCUGUGGGAGCACACAAGAGGUCGGUACAGUUGCCUACAGUGUGGCCACUGCACCCCAGACCGGGGGGAGAUGACCGCUCAUAUUGAGGGCCAACACAAGAACCCAGGGGGCAAAGUGAACACUGAUCAUGAUACAGAGAUUGCCACCGCAUCUUUACUGGCUAAGACUUCACUAAACUCUGAGAACUCAACUUAUACACAGCUCUAACAUGAAAUGAGAUGCUAAACCUGCUGAUUGACAAAGAAUUUUGGUUGUAGCAUUUUAUACAGAGGGAGAUGCUCAAUUUUAAUUUUAACAGACAAUGUGGACUUCAUGCAUCUGUGGUCUGGAUCUGUCAAUAUCACUAUUCAAACACAUGAAGAGGUGCAUGCCUUAUCUUCAGUAAGCAUUUAUGAGUCAUCUCUAAGAAAAUGUCUUGUUAGGUUUCAUUAAAUAAUUUGAAAUGGCAUAUAAAUAAACUCAUUAAU
RNA transcript from Carassius carassius (crucian carp), 1529 nucleotides. It is a transcript of the gene named zinc finger protein 414-like, with no coding region annotated. Lineage: Eukaryota; Metazoa; Chordata; Actinopteri; Cypriniformes; Cyprinidae. The transcript has 8 exons. The record is from RefSeq and is a predicted model, not a curated record.